Long non-coding RNA from Mus musculus (house mouse), 2429 nucleotides. RefSeq annotates it as predicted gene, 41510. The transcript is spliced from 3 exons. NCBI's taxonomy places the organism in Eukaryota, Metazoa, Chordata, Mammalia, Rodentia, Muridae. The record is from RefSeq and is a predicted model, not a curated record.
GAGUAGACAGAGGGUUACUGGUUUCCCGAGCGACCCAUAAGUCACCCUCUGGAACACAGACAUACGAUUUUGGUCUUGGUCACUAGGAGUCUGUGUAAGCGUGUGAAGGAAAGGCACAGCCGGCGCACCGUGUUCAUGGCUUCACAGAUCGUAACGUAAGCAAGUGUGCAGUGAAACCACCAAGUGGACCACUCCUUGGCUGCAAAGAAAGGUUUAUUGGGCAGGGGGGAAUUGGAAGACAUCAUGACUACCUCUUGGAGGAAGAGAGAAUUGCAAAAGCUGCUCUUUGGUGAACAGGCCAACCUUAUCUACUGCAUGCUCCCAGCCUCAUCAUAGGUCUGAAGUCAUGGGAGCCAAGUGACCAUGGACUGAAACCUCUGGACAAAACCAAACAACUCCUCCUUUCAAGUUGAUUUCCUCAAGUGUGUAGUCUCAUAGAUAAGAAGCUAACACCAUGAGAGACUCAGAGUUUUCAAAACCUAUUUUAUAAUGGUUCUUAAAUACUUUAACCUCCCUUCUAGCCCACCAGCCACCAGAGGCAAUGGAAAGGAAAGGCUUUCCAAAAGAGGAUGUGGACCUGUUUGGAAAUAGUUCUUCAGGGGGGUGGGGGGUGGGACUCUAAUCUUCUUUGGCAGGAUGCCAGCAGUUCAGUCCACAUGAAUUAGUAACAGUAGAUGGAUCCAGAAGAAACUAUGAGGCUCUGCCAAUCAGCCCGAGUCCACUCAGAAGAGACAAGAAGCUGCCUGAAUAUCAUGAGGAGUUCUUUGGCGCAUUUUUUUCUCUACGAAGUCACAACAAAUGACGAGCAGCUAAGAAGUUGAGGUGAACCAAUGCCACGGUGUCAUCAGGGAAGACCGGCAUCAGCAAAGUCCAAUGAAGACCAGCAAAGAGCGUUAAGAACGGCAAGGGACCGACUGAGUGCUGCUGCAGUCUGCUGCAGCCUGGUACCAACUGAGCGUCUCUGCAGACUGCCACAGCCUGGUGCAGCCUGACACCAACUGAGUGCUACUUCAGCCUGGUGCAGAAUGGCACAGAUUGGGAGCACAUGCAGCUUGAUGCAGCCUGGCACUGACUGAGAGCCUCCACAGCCUGGUGCAGCCUGGCACAGACCGAGCACCUCUGCAAUCUACCUCACCUGUGGUAGUUUAUUACUUGGUAACAGAAAACUGAUAGGGUGAUAUCACUGUGAGAGCCCAGCAGCUCUCAUGGAUCUCAGAAGUAAUGGCCCAGCUGCCUUGCUGUGAUGACGCCCCUGUAAUCUUGUGGAAGGGUCACACAGACAGGAACCAUGAUCCUCAGCUGCAGCCAAGCCCGCUAUUUGAAUGUUUGGUUGUGGGACUGUGAAAGGCAGUUUGUGUUCUGGUCGAGCGAAGGUUACUCCAGAGACCUAGUAGAAAAUUCUACAAGGGAUGGAACAGUAAGUUACACCUUCAGACACAAACACCUGACACCAGGAGCCCGCCCCCCUCUUUGCAUCUGUACAAUCCUUUCAAGAAAGCAACUGAUGGGGAAGACCCGCCCUACAUGCAAGCACCUACCAAUGGGCAACCCAGGGACAAAGUAGCCCAAUGAGAGAGCAGACCCAGAGACAAAGCUGCCCAAUGAGAGAGCAGUGUGGUUGUAAUUGUUGGUGUUUCCUCUUGAACUUGCUGCUGACCUUCGCUCCUGACAAGAGAAUCCAUCUUCUCUGGCCUUUAAACGGGACUGAAGGUUAGAUAGAAACUCUCCAGGGAGUUCCAGGCCUGCAUCGCUGGAUCGGGACUGCUGAGGGACCAACUUCUGGGACUGAGCAGCUACCAGGUUCUCAAGCUCCUGAGGGCACAGUCGGCCACCGCUAGACUACCCAAGUCCUGCUGUGAAUGCCAGUUUAGCAAAGCCCCAGAUAUAUGUGUUCUGUUGGUCUGCUCCUCCAGAGAGCUGUGCUUAAGGCAUUUUCCUAGGCUACAGAAUAACAGGCUGCUCUUCUUUUCCGAAGCCACUGAAAUUCAGGGUGGUGGAGUAGACUGAUUUUUUCGGCUGUUUGCCACCCAUGACGCUGAUUACGCCUCUGGUGACAUGAUUGAUACGGAAGGUGGCACAUCCAUCAGAGACCAAGCUCCCUAAGAAAAGAUGCAGAGUUUGCAAUCCCAAAUUCACAUUGCGCUGGUCCACUGUCCUCCCAAGUGUGCACAGAGGGCAUUUUGCAAACUCUUGGCUAUAGGAGGAUUUAUGAGCCUGGUACCUGGGUAUGCCACGCUCAGAAAAAAAAAUGCAAAUGGUUCUGUCCAGGGUGCAAUGGAACGAAUUAAUUCAGACCACUCAGGUGGGUCUGAAACUGAGCACCGUUCUGGGAACUAACUGAACUUUAUCAUCAGUUUUGAAGCGAUCAGUGUUUUGACAUAUGAUUCUAAUUCAAAUAGCCCAAUGUAAAAUAAAAGAAAAACACAGCC